AUUUAAUUUAAGCUAGUUAUGACAGAGGGUGAGGUGAAACCCUAGUUUCACCAAAAUCCAUCAAAUUGAAGGGGGAUUGAAGGGCUAAACUAAUGCAUGAACCAAGAUUUUCGAUCACUUUAGCGUUUCUACCAUCAUGAACGUGUCAAGGAGAGGUCAAGCAUAGGAGGAUAACGGGUCAAGAUAAGGCAAGGUGACAAAUACACUUAUUGGAGUACUCGAGGUAAGUGAAUUUCGAUUCACUUUUUAGUAGGUUUAAUAGAUUUUAAUACUUAUGUUUACGAAACAUCAUGAAAGAACAUGUAAUAAUCAGAAGUACAAAGCCAAUAAUGCCUCAUUAUUGAAGAAGGUUGUAUUUAAGCUGAAAGUAAAUUGGUGGGUUUAAACGGGUCGAAUUUUAUGUGCAUAUGUUGCGUAAUGUAAUGAAAUUCGUUAUGGUUAAGACCUUGGGUAAGAAUUUUUAGUCAUUAUGUAAGGGGAACAUUUCCCGGACCAUUAGGAACAAGUUUUAUAUGAUUCGGUUGUCGGUUAGUGAAUGAACGGAUUGUUUCGUGUUAGUGUAGGAAAUUUUAUAAGUAUAUGUGUAUAGGAAUCCAAAGGGCACGUGGGUUGAAUCAUAGAUUGUCUAUACUAUGUAAAGUUGUGAAUGUGACAUUCCGGCAUAAACCUACAUGUAAAAGAAGCUUGUGUAUAUAUUCGUGAUUAAUUGAUUGUGCGUAGGAAGGAACAUUGGCAUGUAUGAAGGUACGCAUGUAUAUAUAUAAGUGUUUAUAUAUAUAUAUAUGUAUGUAUGUAUGAUAAUAAGUACGUAGGUGUGAAUGUAUGUGUGAAUGAAUGUUCAAUGCUUAAGACAUAUGCAUGAACGUUAUCAAAGUGUUCGAGUAUUUAUGGUUACUAAUGAUGUGCGUUGAGUUGGAAUGUAAUGUAGGUAUGGGAUCGUUGGCUUCAUGAAGAAAUGGAGCUGGAUUUGGAUAAGAGUAUUUAAGAAAGCGCUUGGACAAUUCCACGACUACUUUAUAGAAUGCUCCACGAAAUUCUAUUAUAUAGUUUAAUGUUGUGUGGUAUGUUAAUGACUAAUGGUUUGGUUGUACGUGGUGUCCACAGGUAUCGCUUGGGUUUUCUCUACAUUUAUUGAAGUGAAGCGGACUAAGUUCGAGUUGAGAGCAAGGAUUGUACGGGGUAGAAUGGUCACAUAGUGUAACUCAUAUAGGUUUUGAAGUAUUAAUGUUAUAAAACGUUAUAAAUC
Helianthus annuus (common sunflower) is the source of this 1246-nucleotide long non-coding RNA. RefSeq lists it as uncharacterized. The transcript has 2 exons. The record is from RefSeq and is a predicted model, not a curated record. Lineage: Eukaryota; Viridiplantae; Streptophyta; Magnoliopsida; Asterales; Asteraceae.